UUUAAUUUAAAAGUUCUGGAGUAGUAUAAGAUAUAAUCUUCAAACUCAAAAGAUUUGGCGGUAUUUUAUCUUAUCAGAGGAACCUGUUUAUUAAUUGAUAUUCCACAACUAUAUUUUAUUUUUACUAUUAUACUUGUAUACCGCCGUCAUGAAUAUAUUAAAAAAUUGAUUUUCUUUAAUUUUUAUUUUAACUUAUGUUAGGUCAAGGUGCAGUUUGUAAAAAGUAAAAAUGGGUUACUUUAAGCAUUAUGAAUGAAUUGUUUUAUAGAUAAUAAUGAUGAAAUUGGAUUUGAAAGUAAAUAUAUUAUAGAAAUAAUAUGAAUAUAGUUUCUAAAAUAUGU
Molecule: ribosomal RNA, 341 nt
Filed under: Trioza sp. 3 S41B
Lineage: Eukaryota; Metazoa; Arthropoda; Insecta; Hemiptera; Triozidae
Description: partial 12S ribosomal RNA
Source: RNAcentral